This is a non-coding RNA of Physcomitrium patens, 5397 nucleotides long. The record is from RefSeq and is a predicted model, not a curated record. NCBI's taxonomy places the organism in Eukaryota, Viridiplantae, Streptophyta, Bryopsida, Funariales, Funariaceae.
ACUUGCUUUUCACCAAGCGUUUUCUUGUUCCGGUGCAGUAAUGUGUAAACUUGCCCUUGCGUAGGUGUCGAAGCUUAGAAAUGCUGGUUUUAGGUUAUUCGAUAAUAGAGAUGUUGAGAGAGGCUUGCAAGAAAUCGGAGCAGGGACGUAAUGCACGCAGUUGGGACAUGAAUUAGGCGAUUACAAACAAAGGUUACAUUUAGGAUUGUUUGUGAUUUCUUCGCGGUUCCUGCAGUGAUCAGAUUUGUGUGGGGCAGCAAGUCAUUGCGUCCAUCCUUCCAUAUUCCUGUUACGGAUGGCAGAGAAUUAGUGGUGAAGUGUGAUGCAGACACAGACUGCUCUCGCGGGGACCUGAGCGAUAAAUUGUUCUUCUCGUUGAAGGCUCGGUGGCCAUGGCGGAUGUUCAGCCUGGGGGUCGUAGUCCCAAGACUUCUGGAUUGUCUUGAGAUUGUUCUGGAUUCCGCUGGUUACCUUUAAAGCUUCUUUUGAAGCAUGUGUAGUUUUUUUUUUCUAUUUCAAGUAUGAUCUUUGCGUGCGGGCGCUAUGAUGUCUUAAUGGCCGUUUGUAACUCAAUGAGGCUAGCUCCUCAUUGAAGAGUCUUUGAACUUUUGCUAUAGACAUUUCAAGGCCACAAUGAGGCUAAAAUGCCAUGGAGUUGUUAGAUAUCUUAAGAGCCUUCUACCUGUUCCGCACCUUGAUUGCUUUGCUGACGAAUUAUUUAGCUGCGAUGGAACCAAGUCUUUCGAUAAGGUUUUGCCAUUGGAGAUACUUGCUACUCAUUUGCGAUCUUCCGACACAAGAGUCUAUGUGGCUGAAGAAAUUGAUAUCAUGUGCCCAAGUAGGUUAGCAGAGCAGUUCAUAGGUUACCUACUUCCUCAAUCAAUACCUAGCUGCGUCCUCGGUGGCGUUACAGAUUUGGUUUCUCCAUCGAAAGCAUGUGCAUGGUUCGAAGACAUGGAAAUAGAUUCUCUGAUCGUGACGAGAGAAAUCGAACCGUACAUGCUAGACCUGCUUGAGGUUUGGCGGUUCAAUGAGAGUCUGAGCCUGGAUAUUUUGCAAAAUUAUAUUCAUUUCACCAAGGACUUUGAGUGCCUCAAAUUGGUUCAGUACGUGAUCGAACCGGGGCAAAACGCUACUCCUACUGUACGUGAUGAAGACUGUAAUCAGGGGAGUGUUAUGCAUGAUAUGCUGGCUGAUGCAGGUUGCAAUUUGAAGGAAACGAAAACCAUGCAUAAUAAUACUGUAGAAGCUUCUGAACUCAAACCCCUUGACCAAGAGUCGCUUCUGGAGCAGUAUUCUGGUCAAAUCAUUCGCAAUAGGGAAUUGAAGGAUAAUGCUAAGAACCACGCUGAAGCAGUUGAUUCCGAAUCCCACAUCGAGCUUUUAACCGAACUUCUACACUUUGACCCCAGGGCUUUCCUAUUGGACAAAAUGAGUAUUAAGCCAAAUAUUGAACACAACGAACUUCAGUCUGCUAUUUCGCCCUCAUGUACAGCCCGUUGUUUGAGUUUGUUGGACGAGAACUCAGUUGACGCGGACACAGAAGCUGUUACCAAACACCCUACCAUAAAUACAGUGAAAGUUCUGUUUGAACUUCCAGAAGUUCUUGAGGAAGAAUUUCUGAUCACGUCUUAUACCUUAUAUCUUGGAGCUUACGUUACCAUAUUAAUGAAGCCGCUUUUCAUUGAACUUGAGGAAUUGGAUUCCCGAGAGACUCCUAUUCAGGGUUUUGAAAGAUUAUUAGUUCUUCCUGAGUUAACAUUAGAUCCCUCUAGCUUUCAUUUGCUGCCAGAACCUUCUUUCAUUCCAGGAUAUGAAGCACAUUUGAGUGAAGACGUGUUUAAGAAUCUUGUCCGAGCAAAAGCCUCACCAACUGCCACAUCUGCUAGCGAUUGCUUGUAUCUGGAUUGGCAUUUGUCUCAAAUGGGACAUUGUAACAAUUAUAAAUGCUUCCAUCUCCAGAGGAGAUUGGUUGAAAAUGAGUUUCGAUUGACAGUUCCUGGAAAUUUAAAUCUAGGAAAAAGAAUCCCUGACCAUCAGCUAUUACCAAUGCUCAUUUCGGAUGACGACUCUAAGUCUUCGUGUGAAGGUGAUACAGAGUGUUGUUACAACACCGUGGAGGAGAAUUCUUCGGCUAAUUUAAAUUCUUCCGCAUCAGACUCCAUGCUCAAUUCCAACAGUUUUGUGUACACAGCUGCUAAAGCAGUAAACAAUUAUCACUCGGAUCAAGCAGUAUUGACGGAAGAAAGGAACGACUCGAUUCCAGUAAGAGUCCAUCAGAUUCUUCAAGCAGGAUUCAGUCCUACUGCGAUGGAUAGUGUCCUCACAUUUAUGAAACAUGCCAGGCAGGGGGCUCCAUCAAGAGACACAAAAUGGAUGCAAUUACAAGAAAACCUUGACUUCAAGGAGAAUCAUCAAGGCUCAUGCAACACCAAAGACCAAUCCCGCAAUUCCAACUUGUUUUAUGAAGAUGUCUUGAAAUCUACAUCAGGUGAGAAGAUCUCCGCACCAAAUCCAUCGUGCUCUUCAGGACUGGAUGCAGCUUCGAGUUACGAUCUCAAAACCUCCGACCAUAUUCAGCGUGAAUCACAAAUGCCAAUAUCUACUCCUUUGUGCUCCCCCAAAGAUUCACUUAAAAAUGGGAUCAAAUCAGCAACCCCUCUUCAAACAACGCUUGCAGAUCAGUUGAACACUCUGCAAUCGGAAGUGGAAAAUCUAGUACAGUCGGCGGAAGAACAUGGACCUCAUAUCAUAAUCGUCGUAAAUGUUCUACAACAGAACACGUCAAUACUUUUGCAAAGAAGAAAUUCGUACCAGAAAAUCCUUGGUCUUGAAAAUGAAGACUUACAAGUUGUGGAGAGGGAGAUGAAUCUCCCUGUGGAUCUCUUGCUGGAUCCAUCAACAUGCUUGACCAUUUACACUGAGGAGAAGCUGCGCUCAUAUAUUCGCAGUUCUGAAGUCACCGACGAGUUAUUUUCGUGUGCUGUGGAUAGCGUUGUUAAUUGCCAUAUGAAGAUCCUCAGCUUAUCUUUUCAGAGAUGGUUUAUGAUUUUUGAAGGAGGUCUGGAAUUCAAUUCGGCUAUUCUUCGUAUCAUGAACAAGCUCUACAAAGAUUCUGCUGGAUUCCAGAUACAUGCGGAAGGUUUCAUCUCUAAAAAUCCAUUAGACACAGAUUCUCUGGUCCUGAGCUGCAUUAAAGGCAUCUGGAAAAUGUCUAAGAGAUCCUUCGAUUCACCGAUGUCCGAAGACCUGACUGAAGUUGAAUCCUUUCUGACAAACUUCCCAUCACUCAAUCCGCUAUCUUCACACGCAAUACUGUGCCUUAAUAUUCCUAUCGCUACAUUCAUUUCAUGGCCACUCGAAAAACAAAUUUUCGCUCUCCAUGACUUCAACAUACGAGAAGAAAGCCUGGAAUUGUUACAAACUCAGUUUUUGAGCUUGCAUGGAAAGUUGGAGGUUGCAACUCAGCAAGGGCUUUUAAGCGCGUGUCCAUGGCCAGCUGCGUCGGAUAUUGUUGCUUCGGAGGUUGAAAGCCAUGGCAAUGAUGGUUUUAUGUUCUUCCCACCCGCGUCGGAGAUUGUGAACUGCGAGGUUGACGAGGACCGUCACACUGUGGCUUCAAGAGAGAGAUGUAGUGAUCUGUAUUCCCCCAGUCCCCGCGAUUCUAUCUUACUUCAUCCUAAAAUAAAGCAGAUGCGAAGUUGCUUCUUAAGUGGCGAACGUCUGUCAACUCAUAAACUUGCACAACGACCAAGUUACGUCGAAGACAAACGUGACUGCACUAAUCCAAAUGAUGUGCAUGACAUUUCACAUCGAUGGAUUAGAAAACGUGAAAGAGAUAUUGAUAAGAAUAAGAAUUGCUCAGAACUGGAGUCCGAACUUCUCUGUAACCCACUCAAAGUUCCAAAUCAAAAGUUGUACAAUGAACGGUCCCCCAUCAACAAGGUACCUACUUCGGGAAAAUCUACAGCUGAAGCAUUCAGCUCAAAUUACCGAGGUCACGCCACCGAUGAACUCCUGUUGUUCCCAAUGCGAAAGAGACUUUUUUUGGAUCUCCAAGGGGGGGUUACUUCUGCAUCGCAAUCACAGAACAAGAAGUUGAAACCAACAUCCUCAACUAACCCUCUCAUGAGUAUCAGACCCUCUUCUCAGAGGCACGACUCGUUGAAUACCUUGAGACAGUCUUGUAUCAAAUUCAACUCCCCUUUCAGACGCUCGGUUUGAGAAACUGCACAAAGAUACCUGGGCCAGCCACUCACUACGUUCCCAAAAAAUCACUAGAAUUGUAGUGUGAAAGCUUCACCGACAUUCUAAAUAUCUAAUAGCAAUGCUGCUCGUGACAUGUCUUCAAAUCCUAUUUUAAGCUUAGGCGUAGGGUUUCAGGGUGAAAUUUGCAUCCUCUAGUAAACUUGCAUAUUGUGAUCACUUGAUUGGUCAUGUGGAAAGUGCAAGAUUGGACUCGAUUUGUUCCUGCGUAUUUUAACACGUGAGAACAUGUUGAAGGUAAAUUGCGCAACGGGAGAAGAAUCUUCAAAAAGAGGUAUUAUUUCAGACGAAGUUCAGUCUAACUGAUUUGGCAAAGCACAAAGGACGUUCUCGAUGUCCUAGCCACCUCUCACGCAUGAGAUGCCCAUUAAAAGAGGCCCGCUCAGCAUGACAAAAGAUUUUACUGCUGUUACUUACGGUCUUAAUAUUCCGCCAGAAUAUGAAUGAUAUACUUCAUUGCUUUGAGUGACAGAGAUAAAUGUGUUGGAACUGUUUACAAUCUUCACAAGAGAACAUAGAAAAGUUAUGGAGGCACAUCGAUCUGGAGAACGGAAUCAAUUAACAGCAUACAAACUAACGCAACAAUGCAAGGUGAUGUUUGAUUGUCAAUUCUGAGCUUAAGGGGGUGGAGAUCAUAGAUACAAGAAGCCGGUUUUGGGAACCGCAUAUUCAAAAGUUUAGGGGAUCGGCCAGUGCCAGAGGAACAAGAUUAGAAAACAAGAUGCUGAGAGGGGCGUGUAGAAAUGUAGUCAAUUGAUCAGGAACAGUCGGGUUGUGCACGAACUGGUCAUGGAAAGGAAUCCGAAGCAGGGUAAGUUGGAGACGGACCAGCUGCUUAGGUCUGCGGUCUGUUAAUGCUUCUGAACAUAUGAUUAUGUUUUUGGCGUGUUUUUUAAUCAAUUUCUUCUACGCCAUUGGCUGCAGUUUAUAUCAAUGUCUAUUGUCGUGAUAAUGCCUGACAUGUAUUGGCUACUGCGACAUAUUUUCUGAUAUAAUUAGAUCGAGGAAGUCGCUAACGAUGGUUCAAAGUUGAGAAAUAUUUUUGCUUCUCGGCCCACUUAAUGCUGCUUGUAAAAGGCUAUGCCAAAACUUAUGGAAGAAAAAGGUGACAGAAAUCCCUUCGUUUGUCAA